ACGGGGGGGGCAAGCGUUGUUCGGAAUUACUGGGCGUAAAGGGCUCGUAGGCGGCCAACUAAGUCGGAUGUGAAAUCCCCAGGCUUAACCUGGGAACUGCAUCCGAUACUGGAUGGCUUGAAUCCGGGAGAGGGAUGCAGAAUUCCAGGUGUAGCGGUGAAAUGCGUAGAUAUCGAGAGGAACACCCGCGGCGAAGGCGGGUUGCUGGGCUGACACUGACGCUGAUGCGCGAAAGCCAGGGGAGCGAACGGGA
RNAcentral lists this ribosomal RNA (253 nucleotides) under uncultured prokaryote. RNAcentral describes it as "partial 16S ribosomal RNA". It matches the Rfam family "Bacterial small subunit ribosomal RNA", at positions 525 to 777 of the family's 1533-position model. The record is from RNAcentral.